This 73-nucleotide transfer RNA is filed under the name Actinomycetota bacterium. RNAcentral describes it as "tRNA-Glu". It matches the Rfam family "tRNA". From Rfam's summary of the family: Transfer RNA (tRNA) molecules are approximately 80 nucleotides in length. The record is from RNAcentral. Lineage: Bacteria; Bacillati; Actinomycetota.
GCCCCCAUCGUCUAGUGGCCCAGGACACCGCCCUUUCAAGGCGGCAGCACGGGUUCGAAUCCCGUUGGGGGCA